GACCUCGGAUCAGGUAGGGAUACCCGCUGAACUUAAGCAUAUCAUAAGCCGGAGGAA
This 57-nucleotide ribosomal RNA is filed under the name Umbilicaria virginis. RNAcentral describes it as "partial 28S ribosomal RNA". Lineage: Eukaryota; Fungi; Ascomycota; Lecanoromycetes; Umbilicariales; Umbilicariaceae. The record is from RNAcentral.